GGGCCCGCACAAGCGGUGGAGUAUGUGGUUUAAUUCGAUGCAACGCGAAGAACCUUACCAGGGUUUGACAUCCUGCGAAUCUCUGAAUGACAGGAGAGUGCCUUCGGGAACGCAGUGACAGGUGGUGCAUGGCUGUCGUCAGCUCGUGUCGUGAGAUGUUGGUUAAGUCCCGCAACGAGCGCAACCCACGUCUUUAGUUGCCAGCAUUUAGUUGGGCACUCUAGAGAGACUGCCGGUGAUAAACCGGAGGAAGGUGUGGAUGACGUCAAGUCAUCAUGCCCCUUACAUCCUGGGCUACACACGUACUACAAUGCUACGGACAAAGGGCAGCAAGUUCGCGAGGACAAG
Molecule: ribosomal RNA, 348 nt
Filed under: uncultured bacterium
Lineage: Bacteria
Description: bacterial SSU rRNA
Rfam family: Bacterial small subunit ribosomal RNA
Source: RNAcentral